CUGCCGCCGCCCGCCACGGCACCCGCCGCGGUGUUGGAUUUCACCGCCCGCUGCCGGGAGAUUACAUCAGCAAACACGGCCCUGGGGCGGGCCGGCCCCAACCCCAACCCCAAAACCCCAGCAGGUGAUGCCGCUAGGCGCUGCCCGCCGGGCUCCAGAUUACAGCUGCUGAGUUCCAGCCCCACUGCAAGGCACAUAACAGGAGCGGUUCUUAAGUGGUGUAAGAGGCAAGGAAAAAGGGUCCUAUCUGGAAUUCUCCUUCCAAAAUAAGUACAGGAGAAAGCAAUAAUCUUUCCAGAUACUUCGGUGACAUGAACAGAUCCCUCAUUUUUGGCAACAUCAUCUCUAUUGAGUCCAGUUUACCUCAGCAAAAUCCCAGUAACUGUAAAACACAGACAUGGGUUCUGUGGAAGAAGUCCAGAUUUCAGAAACUUGGUGGAAGAGAGAAGUAUUUCAGAUGCGCCUCUGACAGCCAGCCACAACUUGAUGCCUUCACUCUACUCCAUUUCCUGCACUUUGGAGGAUGGAAGAGAUUUUGAAGGCCUUUGGUUUAGCAAACUUGGUGAUAGGAAACAUCCUUCCAGGCUUCAUACUGACUGCUGGGAAGGAGGCAUGUGCUAGCAGCAACCCUUCCCCAGUUCUGCAUAUACAACCGUUAAUUCACAUGGAUCAAGGCAUGCAUCUGUUAGGAAAAAGAUCGUUUUAUCUUAAUGAUACUUUUGAGGAAAUGCUGGCACUGAAGACUGACCACUGCCAUCAGACCAUCACUGAGGAGUGGGAAGAGUCCCAAUGGCACCAGAGCUGUUUGUUCUGCACUACGGCAAUUUGUGCUGAAGUUACUCCAUGUGGCAGUUGGACAGAAAGAAAACGCCAAUCUUCAUUUUGUAUAGC
Long non-coding RNA from Anas platyrhynchos (mallard), 891 nucleotides. RefSeq lists it as uncharacterized. The record is from RefSeq and is a predicted model, not a curated record. NCBI's taxonomy places the organism in Eukaryota, Metazoa, Chordata, Aves, Anseriformes, Anatidae.